Molecule: long non-coding RNA, 122 nt
Organism: Alosa sapidissima (American shad)
Lineage: Eukaryota; Metazoa; Chordata; Actinopteri; Clupeiformes; Clupeidae
Exons: 3
Source: RefSeq, a predicted model, not a curated record
AAUGUAAUGUAAUGUAAUGUAAUGUAAUGCCUUUAUUUGUCCCCCAGUGGGGCAAUUAGUUUUGCAGCAGUACGAGCACACAAAAUUACAAAAAAAUACAUAAAUACACAUAAUAUAAUAAA